Molecule: long non-coding RNA, 401 nt
Organism: Populus euphratica (Euphrates poplar)
Lineage: Eukaryota; Viridiplantae; Streptophyta; Magnoliopsida; Malpighiales; Salicaceae
Exons: 3
Source: RefSeq, a predicted model, not a curated record
UUUUUUUUAAGAUUUUUAUUUUCAUUCUGAUCCAACUAAUUCUCCUUUCAUUUUAUUACAAAAAAACUCUUUUGUUCACAAGGAAAACCAAAUCUUAACAAUACAGUCACCUCUCUUUGGUACUUCAAUCCAGACAUACCAGAAUGCUUAGCAUAUAAACAUUUCUUUGCACAACUACCUGUUGAAAUACAACAACUCCCUUCAUCAUCAAAUAUUGUUUUAUCGAUAGAGGAACAAAUCAAAGAAAAUAGAAGAACAAUACAUGAGAUUCUUUGUAUGAAUCCUUAUGAGCACAAGCAUCUAAGAUUCACCUAUCAAGCUUUGAUUGUUGACUUUGAUUUUCCCAAUGGCUGGUGGUAUCCAAGCUGUCCAAAAUGCAACAAAAAACUUAGUGGGGGUGA